AAAGAAAUUGGCAGCUUUUGAGCCAUUGAUGUGGUGGACACUGGAGCCAGAGGGAGGAGGAUUGUAGAUAACAGAAGCUAAAUUUGAAGAAAGUUUAAACCUGUUCCGAGUUAUGGAUUUCUUCGAAAUGCUUGGGUCUUCAACGAAGCUGGCCUAUGACAAUUGUCUAUCCUUGUGGCAGAAAACAGAAUCAGAAGACAUAAAUAAUAUGAUGGUUGACAUUUAUCAAGAAGCAGGACCCACCCUGUUAGAGGAACCGGAAUCAAGCAUAGUGUUCAUGGAUCUGCACAGACAGGAUGAAGAUCACAUUAAAAGGUGAAGAGGAUGGUUAAACCUGGUUGUUCACAAGAAGUGUUAAAAGUGGCAUUGAAUUCCAUGUCCUCGCUAGUAAGCAUACUUACCUACAUGUCAUCCUCUCCAAAGCCCCAUUCCUCACUUUGAACAAGAAUUAAUCCAACGUUGUGGUCAUGUUUUACACAGAAGAAGAAUCUGCCUGGAUGUCCAUCAGAUGAAAUUGCAUGUUGCAGAUUUGCAUGCCUGUAUCUCUGUAUUAAACCUUCUGUUCUACUUUUGUAUAGUCACAUAGUGGUCCAGAUCAAUGUACAUUUAAAUUUAUUGAAGAAGCAAGAUAUGGGAAUGUUCUAUUCUGUAACUUGUCAGCACACAACAUUAUGCAUCGCAAGCUGUCACACUUGUAGUUAAUUAUUAUUCAUUUAUCGCAAUUAUUGAAAAUAAAUAGAGUAGUAGUAAUUUGCCUUCCUA
This is a non-coding RNA of Theobroma cacao (cacao), 762 nucleotides long. The record is from RefSeq and is a predicted model, not a curated record. NCBI's taxonomy places the organism in Eukaryota, Viridiplantae, Streptophyta, Magnoliopsida, Malvales, Malvaceae.